RNAcentral lists this ribosomal RNA (426 nucleotides) under uncultured bacterium. Its description in RNAcentral is "partial 16S ribosomal RNA". It matches the Rfam family "Bacterial small subunit ribosomal RNA", at positions 354 to 796 of the family's 1533-position model. The record is from RNAcentral.
GUGAGGAAUUUUCCGCAAUGGGCGAAAGCCUGACGGAGCAAUGCCGCGUGAAGGAUGAAGGCCUAUGGGUUGUAAACUUCUUUUCUCAGAAAAGAAUUAUGACGGUAUCUGAGGAAUAAGCAUCGGCUAACUCUGUGCCAGCAGCCGCGGUAAGACAGAGGAUGCAAGCGUUAUCCGGAAUGAUUGGGCGUAAAGCGUCUGUAGGUUGUUUAAAAAGUAUUCUGUCAAAGAUUAGGGCUUAACCCUAGAUAGGCAGAAUAAACUUUUAAGCUAGAGUUUGGUAGGGGCAGAGGGAAUUCCCGGUGGAGCGGUGAAAUGCGUAGAUAUCGGGAGGAACACCAAAGGCGAAGGCACUCUGCUGGGCCAAUACUAACACUGAGAGACGAAAGCGAGGGGAGCAAAUGGGAUUAGAUACCCGAGUAGUCC